RNAcentral lists this ribosomal RNA (497 nucleotides) under uncultured bacterium. RNAcentral describes it as "partial 16S ribosomal RNA". It matches the Rfam family "Bacterial small subunit ribosomal RNA", at positions 28 to 507 of the family's 1533-position model. The record is from RNAcentral.
GAUGAACGCUGGCGGCGUGCCUAAUACAUGCAAGUCGAGCGAACAGACGAGGAGCUUUCUCCUCUUACGUUAGCGUCGGACGGGUGAGUAACACGUGGAUAACCUACCUAUAAGACUGGGAUAACUUCGGGAAACCGGAGCUAAUACCGGAUAAUAUGUUGAAUCGCAUGGUUCAACAGUGAAAGACGGUCUUGCUGUCACUUAUAGAUGGAUCCGCGCCGCAUUAGCUAGUUGGUAAGGUAACGGCUUACCAAGGCAACGAUGCGUAGCCGACCUGAGAGGGUGAUCGGCCACACUGGAACUGAGACACGGUCCAGACUCCUACGGGAGGCAGCAGUAGGGAAUAUUCCGCAAUGGGCGAAAGCCUGACGGAGCAACGCCGCGUGAGUGAAGAAGGUCUUCGGAUCGUAAAACUCUGUUAUUAGGGAAGAACAAAUGUGUAAGUAACUAUGCACGUAUUGACGGUACCUAAUCAGAAAGCCACGGCUAACUACGUG